Molecule: ribosomal RNA, 540 nt
Filed under: uncultured archaeon
Lineage: Archaea
Description: bacterial SSU rRNA
Rfam family: Archaeal small subunit ribosomal RNA
Source: RNAcentral
ACGCCGCGGUAACGACCGGCGGCCCGAGUGGUGAUCGUGAUUAUUGGGUCGUAAAGGGUCCGUAGCCGGUUUGGUCAGUCCUCCGGGAAAUCUGAUAGCUCAACUAUUAGGCGUUUCGGGGGAUACUGCCAGACUUGGAACCGGGAGAGGUAAGAGGUACUACAGGGGUAGGAGUGAAAUCUUGUAAUCCCUGUGGGACCACCUGUGGCGAAGGCGUCUUACCAGAACGGGUUCGACGGUGAGGGACGAAAGCUGGGGGCACGAACCGGAUUAGAUACCCGGGUAGUCCCAGCCGUAAACGAUGCUCGCUAGGUGUCAGGCAUGGCGCGACCGUGUCUGGUGCCGCAGGGAAGCCGUGAAGCGAGCCACCUGGGAAGUACGGCCGCAAGGCUGAAACUUAAAGGAAUUGGCGGGGGAGCACAACAACGGGUGGAAGCCUGCGGUUUAAUUGGACUCAACGCCGGACAACUCACCGGGGGCGACAGCAAUAUGUAGGCCAAGCUGAAGACUUUGCCUGAAUCGCUGAGGGGAGGUGCAUGG